Molecule: ribosomal RNA, 492 nt
Filed under: uncultured bacterium
Lineage: Bacteria
Description: partial 16S ribosomal RNA
Rfam family: Bacterial small subunit ribosomal RNA
Source: RNAcentral
AGUGAACGCUGGCGGUAGGCCUAACACAUGCAAGUCGAACGGCAGCACAGUAAGAGCUUGCUCUUACGGGUGGCGAGUGGCGGACGGGUGAGGAAUACAUCGGCAUCUACUUUUUCGUGGGGGAUAACGUAGGGAAACUUACGCUAAUACCGCAUACGACCUACGGGUGAAAGCAGGGGAUCUUCGGACCUUGCGCGAUUGAAUGAGCCGAUGUCGGAUUAGCUAGUUGGCGGGGUAAAGGCCCACCAAGGCGACGAUACGUAGCUGGUCUGAGAGGAUGAUCAGCCACACUGGAACUGAGACACGGUCCAGACUCCUACGGGAGGCAGCAGUGGGGAAUAUUGGACAAUGGGCGCAAGCCUGAUCCAGCCAUACCGCGUGGGUGAAGAAGGCCUUCGGGUUGUAAAGCCCUUUUGUUGGGAAAGAAAAGCAGCAGGUUAAUACCCCGCUGUUCUGACGGUACCCAAAGAAUAAGCACCGGCUAACUUCGUG